Xenopus laevis (African clawed frog) is the source of this 1232-nucleotide long non-coding RNA. RefSeq lists it as uncharacterized. Lineage: Eukaryota; Metazoa; Chordata; Amphibia; Anura; Pipidae. The transcript is spliced from 3 exons. The record is from RefSeq and is a predicted model, not a curated record.
GGGGGGAGCGAGACUUGUGAAUGCGAGUGGAGCCGGAGAGGAAUCCUGUGACGACGGAGCGAUACCAGGGAGGCAGCUGCAGGAGAAAACUCUACAUACAAGGAUCAUAUAUGAUAUCAGCAUAGAUGUGAAGCCGGACAGCAGGCAGGAGGAGCAUUAUGCAUGGCAUUCAGGAAUUCAGGGUAAAUAAACCAGUAAACUUUUGCAAUACCAGUUGGCUCCAAAGCAAAAGGACAAAGGCAUAAAAAAACAACAACAACACUGGCCAUCCAUUUCUUAUGUGUAGAAGAGGAAUUGGUGGACACUGAAAACCCACCAGACAAGAAUUCUUCUGACAGAAGACUAAAAAGCAGAACAUGGAACCUGGGCAGCCAUAGAGGGAGGGAUGGGACACAACUUUAGGGGCCACAAAUGCUAUACAUCUACUGGGCCCCAUAAGAAAAUGCUGGUUCCAAUGACAGCCCUCCAUGGAACACCCUUGCAUAAAUUCAUCUUUAAUUGCAUACUGUAUUUUUAUUAGGGAGACUGGGAAGGGAGGGUAGAAGCUACAAUUUUUAGACCCAGAGCUAUCUUAAUUUAAUCUAUACUUUUCAAGGGAGUAUUUGUAUGGGUAAAAUGCAACAAAGGAAAAGUCUUAGUAUCCAAAACAAUCUGAGCACUUUUCAGAUGCUAACCUUUUUAGUGAAUUGGCAGGGAAUGCUGGUCUCCAAACUGCAAGCCCACUGGUGUGGCUGAGUUGUUAUCUGCCUGGGAGAUAGGGCUGACUUGAAGGCACUCUUCGUUCCCUAUUUUACUCCUCUGCACUUUUAACUCACAUCCCUCACAGAUGUAAUGUAAUGUAAUAGCCCAAAUCUGCUGGGUCAAUAUAUUGUAACUGUGCUUACUGUAUUAUAUAGAACUUUCUGAUAAUUCCUGGGUUCUUUUUGUGGAUUGUGUCAAUAUCUGCAACCCACAUGAGUUAAGCAAGUUGGGCAUUAUUGCCAUUACUGGUGGCACAUGCAUUGGUGGACCUUAAGUGAUGCCAUCCCAGACCACAUCUGUUAAUGUUUUCAUAACUUGUGUAAAUAAUCUUGUUAGAUAUUUUUGUGAAGUUGAAAUAAGUGAGAGAAAAUGGGGGAGAGCAAAGACAUGGCACAAUUGAAAUCUUACAAUGGGGGAUGCAUAAUGCAGAGUGUGAAGAAAGCAGAGCAAACAUGUAUGAUGACCAUAUGGCGGGGGCAGAAUCAAGUGGA